RNAcentral lists this ribosomal RNA (400 nucleotides) under uncultured bacterium. Its description in RNAcentral is "bacterial SSU rRNA". It matches the Rfam family "Bacterial small subunit ribosomal RNA", at positions 29 to 426 of the family's 1533-position model. The record is from RNAcentral.
AAUGAACGCUGGCGGCGUGUCUUAAGCAUGCAAGUCGUGCGGCAAGGGUAGCAAUACCCCUAGAGCGGCGGACUGGUGAGUAACGCGUGGGUGAUCUGCCUCUGGGAUGGGGAUAGCCACUAGAAAUAGUGGGUAAUACCGAAUACGUUCACCGAACUGUGGUUUGGUGAGGAAAGGCGCUUCGGCGCCACCCGGAGAUGAGCCCGCGUCCCAUUAGCUAGUUGGUGAGGUAACGGCCCACCAAGGCGAUGAUGGGUAGGCGGCCUGAGAGGGUGUACGCCCACACUGGGACUGAGAUACGGCCCAGACUCCUACGGGAGGCAGCAGCUAAGAAUAUUCCGCAAUGGACAAAGUCUGACGGAGCGACGCCGCGUGGAUGAAGAAGGCCGAAAAGGGUUGU